This 493-nucleotide ribosomal RNA is filed under the name uncultured bacterium. Its description in RNAcentral is "bacterial SSU rRNA". It matches the Rfam family "Bacterial small subunit ribosomal RNA", at positions 903 to 1397 of the family's 1533-position model. The record is from RNAcentral.
AAAUGAAUUGACGGGGGCCCGCACAAGCGGUGGAGCAUGUGGUUUAAUUCGAAGCUACGCGAAGAACCUUACCAGGUCUUGACAUCUUGCGCUAACCUAAGAGAUUAGGCGUUCCCUUCGGGGACGCAAUGACAGGUGGUGCAUGGUCGUCGUCAGCUCGUGUCGUGAGAUGUUGGGUUAAGUCCCGCAACGAGCGCAACCCUUGUUACUAGUUGCCAGCAUUCAGUUGGGCACUCUAGUGAGACUGCCGGUGACAAACCGGAGGAAGGUGGGGACGACGUCAGAUCAUCAUGCCCCUUAUGACCUGGGCUACACACGUGCUACAAUGGCCGGUACAACGAGCAGCUAACCCGCGAGGGUGUGCAAAUCUCUUAAAGCCGGUCUCAGUUCGGACUGCAGUCUGCAACUCGACUGCACGAAGUCGGAAUCGCUAGUAAUCGCGGAUCAGCAUGCCGCGGUGAAUACGUUCCCGGGCCUUGUACACACCGCCCGU